ACAAGUUCACAACUCAAGCAAUAGGGACUCACCGCCACCUCCUAAACAGAGAAAAAAAAAAAAAAUCCCAUCCUUUCUUCUUUAAGAUUAGUUUUGGAAAUGGAAUAUCUAUAUGUGUUGGGAGGAAUCAUAGCUUCUGUUUACAGUUUUGUAUUGCUGUAUAGAUCAACAGGAAAGAAAAAAACCACAGCUUCAAGGGAGGUUGGGAGAGAUGAAAGAUUGCAGGGAGAUGAAAAUGGAAUAAAUGAGGCAGAAAAAGCCAUGAAUCCAGAUGUAAUUAUUGUUGGUGCUGGUGUUGCUGGUUCUGCUCUUGCUUACACUCUUGGCAAGGAUGGACGAAAAGUACAAGUGAUUGAAAGAGACCUGAAUAAGCCUGAUAGAAUUGUUGGAGAACUCCUACAGCCAGGAGGCUAUCUCAAACUAAUUGCGUUGGGCCUUGAAGAUUGUGUAGAAGACAUCGAUGCUCAACAAGUAUUUGGAUACGCUUUGUAUAAGGGUGGGAGAAGUACAAAACUUUCCUAUCCCUUGCAAAGUUUUGACUCAAAUGUUUCUGGGAGAAGCUUUCAUAAUGGGCGUUUCAUUCAAAGGAUGCGGGAAAAAGCUGCUUCUCUAUCCAAUGUGAGAUUGGAAGAAGGAACAGUAACAUCCUUACUUGAAGUAAAAGGAACAAUCAAGGGCGUACAAUACAAAACUAAAAGCGGUCGAGAACUUACUGCUCAUGCUCCACUCACAAUUGUAUGCGACGGUUGUUUUUCAAAUUUGCGACGCUCUCUUUGCAACCCCAAGGUCGAUAUUCCCUCUUGUUUUGUCGCUUUGAUCUUGGAAAACUGUGAACUUCCGUACCCAAAUCAUGGACACGUUAUUCUAGCGGACCCUUCACCAAUCUUGUUCUACAGGAUUAGUAGCUCUGAAAUUCGUUGUUUGGUAGACAUACCAGCUGGCCAAAAGCUACCUUCCAUUUCAAAUGGUGAAAUGGCAAACUAUUUGAAAUCCGUGGUGGCUCCCCAGAUCCCUCCUGAGCUCUCAGAGGCUUUCAUUUCUGCCGUUAACAAAGGAAACAUAAGAACAAUGCCUAAUAGAAGCAUGCCUGCUGCUCCUCAUCCCACUCCAGGUGCUCUUCUUUUGGGGGAUGCGUUCAACAUGAGGCAUCCUUUAACCGGAGGAGGAAUGACUGUGGCACUUUCUGAUAUAGUUUUGUUGCAGAAUCUUCUCAGACCUCUACAUGAUUUAAGUGAUAAAUCAACACUUUGUGAAUAUCUUAAAUCUUUUUAUACACUUCGCAAGCCGGUGGCAUCUACCAUAAAUACAUUAGCAGGAGCCUUAUACAAGGUGUUUAGUGCAUCACAUGAUUCAGCACAAAGUGAAAUUCGUCAAGCAUGUUUUGACUAUUUGAACCUUGGCGGUGUAUUUUCGAGUGGUCCGAUUGCUUUACUCUCAGGUCUAAACCCUCACCCACUGAGCUUGGUUGUCCACUUCCUUGCUGUGGCUACUUAUGGUGUCGGUCGGUUGGUAUUUCCAUUCCCUUCAGCUACACGCAUGUGGACUGGGGUUAGAAUGAUCUCAGUAUGUAUAGCUAACUACACUUCUAAAUAUGAGUUACAGUUUUCGAUUGACCUUCAUUAAAUUCUGCUUAUGUUAAUGCAUAUAUAUGCAGAUAUAGUUUCUAUUUUUUUUUCCUGCUUGACAUUGUUCUUGUUUGUUUAGGUUGCAUCGAGGAUCAUCUUCCCAAUAAUAAGAGCUGAAGGAGCUCAACAUAUGUUCUUCCCUAGGACAAUGCCUGCAUAUUGCAGAUCUGCAGCUGUUUGAAAAGCAAGAAACUAAAAGAUGCAAAAACAAUGAAACUUGGCAGAAUAGCUUCUCCUUCUCCUCCUUUCAAUUAAGUGAUGAAGCAACAAUAUGAGGCCAGAUGAAAUGAGAAAAUGUUAAAUUUUAUACUAGAUCAUCGCUAACAGAUUCAUUUAUUUAUUUAUUUUUCAGAUUGGAUGAGAAAUUUACUACAUCUAGUCAAGUUUCCAUUUUCGAAAAUCAUGUAAGUUAUUUAUUCAUUCUUGUUCUGAUAUUCCAGUGUAAUUGUACAUUGUUGUGCAACUGAACUGAUGAUCUGAAAUAUCAGUUAUCCACUUAUCACUGCUUUAGCUCAUCGAUUAACAGAAUUUCAAAGUUAAAAAAGUUUUUUUUAAUUAUUUUAUUAAAUAUAACUAAAAAACAAUUGAAAUGUUAUUUUGUUAAUUAAUUUUAUAUUCUUAAAACAUAUUAAUUUUUAUUAAUUUUUAACACUUUUUAAUUAAUAUAUUUAAAAAAAUAAUUUUCACAGCAACAGCUCCAAAAGCAAUGCCAAACCGAACUUAGACUUUGUUUAAUUAAACUUGCUUGAGAAAUGUGCACACCUCUUUCAACAAAGCAAUAAUGGUAAGAAUAAGAUACAUUGGAGGAGGAGACCUAGUUUGGCAAAAAUUAGUUAGUGCAAUUUCUGUUUCUAUUGCUAAUCUGAACCGAGAGACCAGUUGCUCAUCUACUUUUCUUCAUUAAACUUUAAAGGGAAUAGACAAGCAUUGCAUAGGCCUUAAAGUAACAAUUAUAUGCCAACUUCCCACAACCACAACCUAACUCUACAAUCGGAAUUCUUGAAACAAACUGAAAAAUAUAGCUAAAACAAAAAAACACCUGCUCUUACAAUCUCUACGAUCCUUAUCAUUAUACACCCAUUUCACGACAACCAUAGCUUGUUCCCAUUUUCCCUUUUCUCCAAGCUCCUCCACAAUCUUCAGCAACUGCCCUUCACUAAACCGCAGCCCGGACUGCUUCAUUAUCCUUGCUAACUUCCAGUCUCUCAGAGUCACCUCUCUGCUACUUAAUCUAUUAACAAGAAACCGAAUUGCCUCCCUAUCAUUGCGUCUUCUCUUGAAUGGAUCAAAUUCCCGUUUAUUUUCGCUCCUCAGCCAACCAUCAUCUUCAAUUUCAAUAUCAUUAUCCAAAACCCAUGUCAAACCAUCCUCAAAUAUUUCCUUCAAUUCUCUCAAAUUCUCCGUCUUUAACUUCGGUCCAUUGAACUCCUUGUUUCCACUCGCAAACUCUCUCAGUCUCGCUCUCUCUAUACUCUCCCAUGGCCUCCCCACCAACAAACCGCUACUGCCAGACCGAGUCUCUGUUUUUAUUGCCUUAGUGAAGCAUCUGUAUUCCCGUUUCAAGGUUUGGAAAUGAGAUUCCUCGGCGAGGGCUUGCUUUUGGGGGGUGGUGAGGGGUGGGGAUUGCUGGGUUUGUGCCAUUUUGGUGAGUUUGCGGUUGUGUUUUUGAAUUUCUUUCUUGCGCAGAGCGCGGGUGAUUUUGGGAGUUGGAUAUACGCCUUUCCUGAGAAGCCUACGUUUGAUGGCAUCGAUGUUUGGUUGAAACUGGGGAGCUGAAGGAGAAGAGGAGGGAGCUGUUGAAGCUUCCAUGACUAGAAGAAAGGGAGUGAACUAGGGAAGAAGAAGAAAAGUGAAAUGGCUAAGCUAGCCUUCUCCUUCACCAUGUUGGGAAA
Molecule: unclassified non-coding RNA, 3517 nt
Filed under: Hevea brasiliensis (rubber tree)
Lineage: Eukaryota; Viridiplantae; Streptophyta; Magnoliopsida; Malpighiales; Euphorbiaceae
Source: RNAcentral